This 537-nucleotide ribosomal RNA is filed under the name Nosema sp. B PSH-2011. Its description in RNAcentral is "SSU rRNA". It matches the Rfam family "Microsporidia small subunit ribosomal RNA", at positions 1 to 594 of the family's 1311-position model. Lineage: Eukaryota; Fungi; Microsporidia; Nosematidae. The record is from RNAcentral.
CCAGGUUGAUUCUGCCUGACGUAGACGCUAUUCCCUAAGAUUAGCCCAUGCAUGUUUUUGACAUUUGAAAAAUGGACUGCUCAGUAAUACUCACUUUAUUUUAUGUAUAUUUGAAAUUAACUACGUUAAAGUGUAGAUAAGAUGUGUACAGUAAGAGUGAGACCUAUCAGCUAGUUGUUAAGGUAAUGGCUUAACAAGGCAGUGACGGGUAACGGUAUUACUUUGUAAUAUUCCGGAGAAGGAGCCUGAGAGACGGCUACUAAGUCUAAGGAUUGCAGCAGGGGCGAAACUUGACCUAUGGAUUUUAUCUGAGGCAGUUAUGGGAAGUAAUAUUAUAUUGUUUCAUAUUGUAAAAGUAUAUGAGGUGAUUAAUUGGAGGGCAAAUCAAGUGCCAGCAGCCGCGGUAAUACUUGUUCCAAGAGUGUGUAUGAUGAUUGAUGCAGUUAAAAAGUCCGUAGUUUAUUUUUAAGAAGCAAUAUGAGGUGUACUGUAUAGUUGGGAGAAAGAUGAAAUGUGACGACCCUGACUGGACGAACA